RNAcentral lists this long non-coding RNA (4556 nucleotides) under Citrus sinensis (sweet orange). RNAcentral's name for it is "long non-coding RNA (CSIN_LNC004296)". Lineage: Eukaryota; Viridiplantae; Streptophyta; Magnoliopsida; Sapindales; Rutaceae. The record is from RNAcentral.
UGGAGUCAAGUGUGCUUGUUAGUUAUGGCUGUUAAUUUUGACAGGAAGCUGCUGCAACUAACAAACCCAGAAACAGCCUUCCUAAAGGUUGGUUCUGGUGCAUUCUUCUCAGAUCUAGUCAUAAGAAUUGAGAGAGAAGGUUAGUUACUUGUAUUCUCUGUAUCUAUCUCAUGUUCUGUGUAGAUCUUUGAUUCAAUAUCGUGAACGCUCGAAGCUUGUUUCCUCAGUGGAUGCAGGUUCCUUCAACAGGUGCUGAACCUCUUAACUCUUGUGUGUUUGUCUUUGUUUUGUUUCUGUUCUUGAUCGAUUAUUGAGUGUGUGCAUAUCUUGAUCUGUGAAUCUUGCAUCUUGUAAGCAGAAUUAGGUUUUAGGGUGAAUUUGAUCUGAUUUAUAAGGGUUGAAUUCACGACUCUUAGAGAUGCAUUUGCCUGCAUAGGAAGAACAGGCCAAAAAUAACUUACAUGAUCCGAUUCCAAGCUUUUAACUGGGGGUUAUUUAGAUAAGUUAAUUUUGUCUUCAUACUUUAAUUGUCAUUAAUUUUCUCUGACCUAUGAAAUUUUAAAUUCCAUGACAUUAACUAAUGUGAUUGUUCUAGUGGAUUUCUGACUCAAAAUUUGUACCUAGAAUGCUUGUCUUUAACAACAGCAACAUUUGAUGCCGCCAUGGCACAUCUCAUUUUUGCCAUUACCUUUAUCUUGGCUAUUUGUUUUUGGAAUCGUGUCAAUCAUAUUGUGUUAUAAUUUAUGCCAAUUAAAAAUAUGUUAUUAAUUAAUAUGGAAGGGAUAGUAAUAUGCUCAUGGCUUAGCAAAAUGAUCACAAAGACUUCAUUAUUUUUAUAAAUAGUCAUAUCGACUCAUGCUUAGGUAAUUAUGCUUUAUGAGGUCAAAGGCUAUAAUUGUCCAAGAAAUAUCUAUGUGACAAUUUCUAAAAAUAUAGUAUGUGUCCACUUCGCCAAACCACAAGCAUAUUAACUCGUAACCACUAAUUUUAAUUUCUAUAACUAGAAUGGAGAAACUGGGACGGGAGAAACCAAGUGGGAAGGCUAAAAUUAGGCUUGGCAAUUUAAGGGCCUUGGCCUGGGCUUGGCAUAUAAUGUUUUAAAAGUCUAGGCCCUCUCAAAGCCCAUCUAAAUUGGGCGGACCUGGGCUUUUACGAAUUGUCAAAUAUUUUUUUAAUAAAACUAUAAAUUUUCAAAACAUAAUUAUUCAAUACAUAAUACUACAAUAGGCUAAAAACUUAAACAUAAUUCUCUAAUACAUGAUUAGCCAACACACAAAAUAUGAAAAUACUAACAUCACAAGUACCGUACACAACAUACAAAUCAACCACUAAUAUAAAAAAGAAACUAAUCCAAUAUUUGCGGGCCAUCUUCGUCCUCAUCCUUCAAUUCCUCGCCAGUACAAAUUUCUUCUUCAGGAACUCCACCUAAUAAAAAAAAAGGUGUUAAAAUAAAUAAUAAAGCAAAAUAAUUAGUAAUUAAUUUUGUAAAAAAUAUUUUUAUACCUCCAUUGCUAGUAGCCCAUAACCAAUGCUGAGAGCACAUGAUAGCUUCCAACGUGUCUGGAUGUAGUCUACUCCGUUGUGGACUCAAUGUUCUACCCCUCGUACUAAAAGCCGACUCCAAGGCAACAGUUGUCACAGGUAUGGCUAGCAAAUCCUUGGUUAUCUCCGCCAAAAUAGGAUAUUUACCUUUGUUCAUCUUCCACCAUUGUAAAACAUCAAAAUCCAGAGUUCUUUUUACUAAAGGAUCCUCCAAAUACCUAUCUAAGUCGGACUUCGAACUAAUAGGUUGACUAUUUUGGGUUGCAUAUGCAUCAAAUCACCCAUAUCAUCUAUAUCAUCAAAAUCAAUAUGAGAUUGGUCGGGAGGAACAACAAGUGCGGUAAAAGACUCACCAACAACACUGUAUCUCGUAGUUGCGGAUUUGGCCUCAUAAUAAUUCAUCAUUUCAUCACAAAGCUCUCGCACUCUCUUAAGUUGAUUUUCAAGGCCGACUACAUAAAUCUUCAGAUAAUAAUAAUUAAUCAACAUCAUCUUGUAUCUCGGAUCAAGAAUAACAAUCAUGACCAAUACCCCACUAAUCUCAUCCCAAUACUUCAAAAAAAUUUCAAUCAUGUUAUCCGCCAUAUUCUUAACUACAAGAACAUAUGAUGUUUGCCACCCCUUCAAUGCAAUCCUCAUUUUACAAACCAAUGGAAAAAAUAGAUUAGCAGUGGGGUAUGUUGUACCCGAAAACAUCUCAGUCAACCUUGAAAAAGGCCUCAAAUAAUCUAGCAUUUGCUUAGCCAGCUCCCAUUCUUCACUACUAGGCAAACACUUGUAUUGCGGCUCAAGUGUUUGCAGUCGAGAAAAAACACUUUCGUACUUCACUACAAGUUCAAGCAUCGCAAAAGUCGAAUUCCAUCUAGUUGGACAAUCAAGCCCCAACGUUUUCACAUCCGUUUGCAUUUGACGACAUGCCAACUUAAACUUUUCCACUUGUUUUGGCGAUGAACUCCAGUAAGACACACUAUCUCUAACACGUGUAAUACCACUCUCAAUCACCGACAACCCAUCCUUCACAAUUAAAUUCAAAAUAUGAGCCGCACAACUCAUAUGAAAAAAAUUACUGCUCAAUAUCAUUGACUUAGUUGACAACAAUCCCUUCAAUCUUUGAACCAUCGCAUCAUUAGUUGAACAAUUAUCCAAAGAAACUGUGGAUAACUUUCUAUCUAGAUUCCAAUCCAUCAAACACUUCACCAAAAUUUGGGAAAUGCAAUCAGCUGUAUGUGGGGCUUGCUCAUAUAUAAAUAUGUUCAUUCAAAAAAAUAAUAAAAAUUAUGCCAAGUUACAAAAAAAUUAAAUAAAAAAUUUUUAAAUUUAAUGAAGUACCUAUACUAUACAAAUUUAAAUACAAAAUUUUAAUAUUUAAUAAAGUAAAAAUACCUUAGGAUUCGACUUUGCAAAUGCCAAGAGUUGUCAAUGAAAUGUCCUGUAACAACCAUAUAAACUUUCUUUUGAUUACAAGCCGUCCACGUGUCUGUAGUAAUUACUACCCUACUAUUAUUAAUCUCUAACAAAUUCAUUGCCUUCCCCUUUUCAACAUUAUAUAUCUUAAAGAUCUCACUCUUUAAAGUGUUUCUGGACAUAUGCUUCACCAAUUGAUUGCAAUAAUCAACAAAAUCUAAGAGGAAGCUCAUGUUUAACAACAACUAUUGUAAGUUUUUUACGUGCAACCAAUGGAUCAAAUUUCGGAAUUCCAAGCUCACCACUUUCGAUUUUCACCAAGUGUUGCUUAUUCUCAAAAACUUCUUCAAUUGUCGGUUGAUUAAAACCAUGAAUUUGUCUAGUAUAUCUAUUCAAAUGACUGGUUCUCGAUCCACAAGAAAGAACCGUUCCGCAAUGAUUGCAUUUUGCCUUUGCUACACUACCAACAUUUAUUUUUGUGAAAUGGUCCCAACAAUUUGAAACAACCCUCUGCUUUCUUUUUUUAUCACUCCGCGUUUCUUCUUGAACAUUUUCCGACUCCACAGAUGGAUUUGAAGGCAAAUUAGAAGAUUUAGAAACAUUUUCCAUUAUAAACCUAUACAAAAUUAAAGGAGAUAAAAUAAUUAAUUAAUUAAUUAAUUAAAAAGUGUAAAUGCAGUAAACGCAUACUGCAUUUACAAGCACAUGAGUGACAGGACAACAAAUUUACAAUGUCCAGAACUACAUACAAUAUCUAUACAAUGGAGACAUCACCUUAAUACAGGCUGAGAAAAAUAAUAUGAAUAUGAAAAUUAAACAUCAUUGAGAAAUAUAAACACUUUGCAAUUGAAGACAGGAAAUAAAUUCUAUAUCAUUCGUACCUUCACAAUUCUGUUCCAAAGUUCCAAAAUCAAAGCAAGAAGUGAAACUAGUAUCAUCUCAAUCAUAGUACACUAUGAACUGCAGGUUUGCUGCUCCUAAAAAUUGCAAUGCCAUGGCACUACUAUUUUCAGAAAAUGAACAAAGGAUCAAGAUUGCAUGGCCCUAUGGAUACCAUCAACUGUUGAUGUAUGUUAUUAGGAAUUAAUCACUAACAAUCAAUUACAAGGGAUUCACUUAAAUUAACUCAAAUGGCAGGCCAGCAACCUACACACGCAAAAAAGGAAAAAAAAAAAAAAGGACGGCUGUGCUGGUAUUCCAAACUACAAAAUAAAAAAAUUUGAAGCUUUAUUGACAUGGAUUACCAGAGUUAGAUGCAGUGUCGCGUGGCUUGCUGGUGGGUGGGAGGCGCGGCUGCGACACGCGGGAGAUGCUGUUGCUGCCUUGCUGGAUGGCUGGACGGUGGGUGGUUGGGCGGUGGGUUACGCCUUACGUGGGAGAUGCUCGCUACUGCUGCUGCUGGAUGGUGGGUCGUUGAUGGCUGAUGCUGGCUGGAUGCUGCUGGAAUCUGGAGAUGCUCGCUGCUGUUGGCUAUCGGCAGCGAGAACAGUGAGACGCCAACACGGUGAUGCUGUGACAUUGAGUGAGAUUUUGUCAUGGUGCUCACGAAUAGAGGGAUUUAGGGAUUUUGUCACAGUUCAGUAGUUCACACUUUACAAAACCUUUGCCCG